AAAGAAUUCUUUAAAAAAUACUAAAAAUAAAAACCUUAAAUAAAUUCUAACUAAAUUCUAAAAUAAAUCUACAUAAAUCCUAAUAAAAUUUUAAACCAAUCAUAACCAAAAUUCAAUGAAAUCAUAAAAUAAUCCUAAUCAAAUCCUAAAUUCUAACAAAAUCUUAACCAAAUCUCAAAUCUUAAUCAAAUUCUAAACAAAUCUUAAUCAAAUUCUAAUCAAAUUUUAAAUAAAUCUUAAAUUAAUUGUAAUCAAAUCCUAAUCAAAUUCUAAUCAAAUAUUAAUCAAUCAUAAUUAUAUUCUAAAUAAAGCUAAAAAAAUUCAAGUAAAUUCUAAUCAAUUACUAAUCAAAAUUGUUAAUAUCAACGAAAAUUUUAUUCAUAUUUCAAUCUAUGAGCAAUUAAGAAGGUAACAAAAUUUGAAAAGAAUUGAAUUUAUUUGUCAAAAAAAAAAGCUCCUUAUCCUCUUAGAUGUUGAUUGCUAUUCUUUUCUAACCUAGAUGUUAAUAUUUCAACAAUAAUGUUUUUUUGUUAAAUUAUUCCAUUGCUUCAAAACGUAGCUAGUU
RNAcentral lists this long non-coding RNA (565 nucleotides) under Physcomitrium patens. RNAcentral's name for it is "long non-coding RNA (PPAT_LNC011826)". Lineage: Eukaryota; Viridiplantae; Streptophyta; Bryopsida; Funariales; Funariaceae. The record is from RNAcentral.